GACGAACGCUGGCGGCGUGCCUAAUACAUGCCAGUAGAACGCUGAAGGAGGAGCUUGCUUCUCUGGAUGAGUUGCGAACGGGUGAGUAACGCGUAGGUAACCUGCCUGGUAGUGGGGGAUAACUAUUGGAAACGAUAGCUAAUACCGCAUAAUAGCAGUUGUUGCAUGAUAACUGUUUGAAAGGUGCAAUUGCACCGCUACCAGAUGGACCUGCGUUGUAUUAGCUAGUUGGUGGGGUAACGGCUCACCAAGGCGACGAUACAUAGCCGACCUGAGAGGGUGAUCGGCCACACUGGGACUGAGACACGGCCCAGACUCCUACGGGAGGCAGCAGUAGGGAAUCUUCGGCAAUGGACGGAAGUCUGACCGAGCAACGCCGCGUGAGUGAAGAAGGUUUUCGGAUCGUAAAGCUCUGUUGUAAGAGAAGAACGAGUGUGAGAGUGGAAAGUUCACACUGUGACGGUAUCUUACCAGAAAGGGACGGCUAACUACGUG
Molecule: ribosomal RNA, 495 nt
Filed under: uncultured bacterium
Lineage: Bacteria
Description: partial 16S ribosomal RNA
Rfam family: Bacterial small subunit ribosomal RNA
Source: RNAcentral